This 68-nucleotide transfer RNA is filed under the name Sergia lucens. Its description in RNAcentral is "tRNA-Asp". It matches the Rfam family "tRNA". From Rfam's summary of the family: Transfer RNA (tRNA) molecules are approximately 80 nucleotides in length. RNAcentral also lists the same sequence under 1 other name. The record is from RNAcentral. Lineage: Eukaryota; Metazoa; Arthropoda; Malacostraca; Decapoda; Sergestidae.
GAAAAAUUAGUUAAAUUAAAUAACAUUAGCUUGUCAAGCUUAAAUUAUCAGGAUUCUGAUAUUUUUCA